Molecule: ribosomal RNA, 465 nt
Filed under: uncultured bacterium
Lineage: Bacteria
Description: partial 16S ribosomal RNA
Rfam family: Bacterial small subunit ribosomal RNA
Source: RNAcentral
GACGAACGCUGGCGGCGUGCUUAACACAUGCAAGUCGAACGGAAAGGCCCUGCUUGCCGGGUACUCGAGUGGCGAACGGGUGAGUAACACGUGGGUGAUCUGCCCUGCACUUCGGGAUAAGCCUGGGAAACUGGGUCUAAUACCGGAUAGGAGCCAUUUUUAGUGUGAUGGUUGGAAAGUUUUUUCGGUGUAGGGUGAGCUCGCGGCCUAUCAGCUUGUUGGUGGGGUAAUGGCCUACCAAGGCGGCGACGGGUAGCCGGCCUGAGAGGGUGGACGGCCACAGUGGGACUGAGAUACGGCCCAGACUCCUACGGGAGGCAGCAGUGGGGAAUAUUGCACAAUGGGCGCAAGCCUGAUGCAGCGACGCCGCGUGGGGGAGGACGGCCUUCGGGUUGUAAACUCCUUUCGCUAGGGACGAAGCUUUUUGUGACGGUACCUAGAGAAGAAGCACCGGCUAACUACGUG